This 477-nucleotide ribosomal RNA is filed under the name uncultured bacterium. Its description in RNAcentral is "partial 16S ribosomal RNA". It matches the Rfam family "Bacterial small subunit ribosomal RNA", at positions 28 to 505 of the family's 1533-position model. The record is from RNAcentral.
GAUGAACGCUAGCGGGAGGCCUAACACAUGCAAGCCGAGCGGUAUUUGUUCUUCGGAACAGAGAGAGCGGCGCACGGGUGCGGAACACGUGUGCAACCUGCCUUUAUCUGGGGGAUAGCCUUUCGAAAGGAAGAUUAAUACCCCAUAAUAUAUUGAGUGGCAUCAUUUGAUAUUGAAAACUCCGGUGGAUAGAGAUGGGCACGCGCAAGAUUAGAUAGUUGGUGAGGUAACGGCUCACCAAGUCAAUGAUCUUUAGGGGGCCUGAGAGGGUGAUCCCCCACACUGGUACUGAGACACGGACCAGACUCCUACGGGAGGCAGCAGUGAGGAAUAUUGGACAAUGGGUUAGCGCCUGAUCCAGCCAUCCCGCGUGAAGGACGACGGCCCUAUGGGUUGUAAACUUCUUUUGUAUAGGGAUAAACCUACUCUCGUGAGAGUAGCUGAAGGUACUAUACGAAUAAGCACCGGCUAACGCCG